Molecule: transfer RNA, 67 nt
Filed under: Diamphipnopsis sp. SD-2019
Lineage: Eukaryota; Metazoa; Arthropoda; Insecta; Plecoptera; Diamphipnoidae
Description: tRNA-Phe
Rfam family: tRNA
About the family: Transfer RNA (tRNA) molecules are approximately 80 nucleotides in length. Their secondary structure includes four short double-helical elements and three loops (D, anti-codon, and T loops).
Source: RNAcentral
AUUCAAAUAGCUUAUUAUUUAGAGCGUGACACUGAAGAUGUUAAAGAGGUUAUUUAACCUUUGAAUA